Molecule: long non-coding RNA, 280 nt
Organism: Cyanistes caeruleus (blue tit)
Lineage: Eukaryota; Metazoa; Chordata; Aves; Passeriformes; Paridae
Source: RefSeq, a predicted model, not a curated record
UCCCACUCCUCCAGAGCAGGGCAAGCACACCCAGCAAGCAGGGAAGGAACCGAGGAUGGCAGAACGGGGCCAGAUGGACAGGGUCCUAAUUCCCGUCAAGAAUCAUUACCCACCACAUGCUGGAUGAGGCACCUCCAAAGACGUGCUGUGAGCACUGGAAAACGAGGCAGCACCAGGAGGUCGGGACCCCACAGCGUCUCUGGAAAACCAUUCCAGUGCUGGAGCACCACUUCCCUCAAACAGCUUUUCUUACAUUUAAAGAGAAUUUCUUGCGCUUUGA